GACGAACGCUGGCGGCGCGCUUAACACAUGCAAGUCGAGCGAUGAAAUCUUAACAGAACCCUUCGGGGUGAAGAUAAGACGGAUUAGCGGCGGACGGGUGAGUAACACGUGAGUAACCUGCCUUUUACACAGGGAUAGCCUCAGGAAACCGGGAUUAAAACCUGAUGAAACUAUCAAAUCACAUGAUUAGGAAAGUUAAAACUCCGGUGGUAAAAGAUGGACUCGCGUCCCAUUAGCUAGUUGGUGAAGGUAACGGCCCACCAAGGCAACGAUGGGUAGCCGGCCUGAGAGGGUGAACGGCCACAUUGGAACUGAGAAACGGUCCAAACUCCUACGGGAGGCAGCAGUGGGGAAUAUUGCACAAUGGGGGAAACCCUGAUGCAGCGACGCCGCGUGAGCGAAGAAGGCCUUCGGGUCGUAAAGCUCUUUUAUAUGGGAAGAUAAUGACGGUACCAGAAGAAAAAGCCCCGGCUAACUACGUG
RNAcentral lists this ribosomal RNA (482 nucleotides) under uncultured bacterium. RNAcentral's name for it is "partial 16S ribosomal RNA". It matches the Rfam family "Bacterial small subunit ribosomal RNA", at positions 28 to 507 of the family's 1533-position model. The record is from RNAcentral.